This 507-nucleotide ribosomal RNA is filed under the name uncultured Sphingobacteriales bacterium. Its description in RNAcentral is "bacterial SSU rRNA". It matches the Rfam family "Bacterial small subunit ribosomal RNA", at positions 903 to 1382 of the family's 1533-position model. Lineage: Bacteria; Pseudomonadati; Bacteroidota; Sphingobacteriia; Sphingobacteriales. The record is from RNAcentral.
UGCGCCUUGCCAGCCCGCUCAGAACUAAAUGAAUUGACGGGGGCCCGCACAAGCGGUGGAGCAUGUGGUUUAAUUCGAUGAUACGCGAGGAACCUUACCUGGGCUCGAACGUAAGAUGACUGUAGGUGAAAGCUUACAUCUCUUCGGAGCAUUUUUACGAGGUGCUGCAUGGUUGUCGUCAGCUCGUGCCGUGAGGUGUCGGGUUAAGUCCCAUAACGAGCGCAACCCCUACCUUUAGUUGCCAUCAGGUCAAGCUGGGGACUCUAAUGAAACUGCCUACGCAAGUAGUGAGGAAGGUGGGGAUGACGUCAAAUCAGCACGGCCCUUACGUCCGGGGCUACACACGUGCUACAAUGGCCGGUACAAAGGGUUGCGAAGCCGUGAGGUGGAGCGAAUCUCAAAAAGCCGGCCUCAGUUCGGAUUGGAGGCUGCAACUCGCCUCCAUGAAGUCGGAAUCGCUAGUAACCGCAGAUCAGCUACGUUGCGGUGAAUACGUUCCCGGGCCUU